AAACAGAUAACAGAACAUGGCAUAGCCUUCUGGCUUGCCAGCUCUUGUCAAAGCAUCCGCCCCAUGCAAGUAUGGAAAACAGUUGUUAAAUGUUGUUGUUGUUGAUGAUGAUAAUGAUCAACUUUAUCUGAGUAUGCUAAUGUCCUAUCUGAUCAUUUUAAUUAUUGGUAACUUCCUCUUUCCCACACGUAUUCCAUACAAUGGCUCCAAUAAAUACAAGGAAUAAAAUGGAUAAGGAGAAUCAUACAUUAAAGUCAUAGAUAAUGGUCUCACAGUAUUGGGUGAUAAUUACCUAAGUACAGUAUGGGCAGGUAAUAUGUACAUAUAAUUUCAUAAAGAUAUAGGAUUAUAACCAUGUUAAAAUGGUUAGCCAACAUACAAUGGAAAAUAUAGGAAUCCAAGGUAUUCAUCUUAUAGAUCAGGCUUGCUUGGCACAAUUAGAAGUAGCACAACAGUAGCUAAGCAAAUAAUGAACAAUAAAGGUGAGGUUUGUGGGAAGGAGGAAGUUACCAAUAAUUAAAAUGAUCAGAUAGGACAUUAGCAUACUCAGAUAGAGUUGAUCAUUAUCAUCAUCAACAACAACAACAUUUAACAACUGUUUUUCAUACUUGCAUGUGGCGGAUGCUUUGACAAGAGCUGGCAAACCAGAAGGCUAUGCCAUGUUCUGUUAUCUGUUUUGGCAUGUUUUCUAUGGCUAGAUGCCCUCCCUAGCGCUAACCACUUCACAGAGUGUACUGGGUACAUUUUUCAUGGUACCAGUACCAGUAGGAUCAGCAAGUAACUUGCAAAAUAAGACAAAGGUCCCUUGACUAGAGGGAGUAGUACAGAAGGAAGUG
Molecule: long non-coding RNA, 836 nt
Organism: Octopus sinensis (East Asian common octopus)
Lineage: Eukaryota; Metazoa; Mollusca; Cephalopoda; Octopoda; Octopodidae
Exons: 3
Source: RefSeq, a predicted model, not a curated record